RNAcentral lists this ribosomal RNA (2896 nucleotides) under Clostridioides difficile. Its description in RNAcentral is "bacterial LSU rRNA". It matches the Rfam family "Bacterial large subunit ribosomal RNA". Lineage: Bacteria; Bacillati; Bacillota; Clostridia; Peptostreptococcales; Peptostreptococcaceae. The record is from RNAcentral.
UCAAGUUAUUAAGGGUGCAGGGCGGAUGCCUUGGCACUAGGAGCCGAUGAAGGACGUGAUAAGCUGCGAUAAGCUUCGGGGAGUUGCACGUAAACUUUGAUCCGAAGAUUUCCGAAUGAGGAAACUCACUUAGAGUAAUGUCUAAGUAUCAUUAAGUGAAUACAUAGCUUAAUGAGGGGAACUCAGGGAACUGAAACAUCUAAGUACCUGAAGGAAGAGAAAGAAAUUCGAUUCCGUAAGUAGCGGCGAGCGAACGCGGAUUAGCCCAAACCAAUAAAGUUUUCUUUAUUGGGGUUGCGGACAUAUCAUAACGAAGAGGUAUCGUAAUUGAAGAGGUUUGGAAAGACCCACCACAGAAGGUAAUAGUCCUGUAUGUUAAACGAGAAGACUUUAGAUAUGAUCCAGAGUACCACGGGACACGUGAAACCCUGUGGGAAGCAGGAGGGACCACCCUCCAAGGCUAAAUACUACCUAGUGACCGAUAGCGUAUAGUACCGUGAGGGAAAGGUGAAAAGAACCCCGGGAGGGGAGUGAAAUAGAACCUGAAACCCUGCACUUACAAGCUGUGGAAGCACAUUUCUUGUGUGACCGCGUACUUUUUGUAGAACGGGCCAACGAGUUACGUUAAGUAGCAAGGUUAAGCACUUAAGGUGCGGAGCCGUAGCGAAAGCGAGUUUUAACUGAGCGUUCAGUUACUUGACGUAGACCCGAAACCGGGCGACCUACCCAUGAGCAGGAUGAAGCGAAAGUAAAAUUUCGUGGAGGUCCGAACCCACGAGCGUUGAAAAGCUCGGGGAUGACUUGUGGGUAGCGGUGAAAUUCCAAUCGAGCCCGGAGAUAGCUGGUUCUCCCCGAAAUAGCUUUAGGGCUAGCCUCAAGGUGAGAGAUACGGAGGUAGAGCACUGAAUGUCCUAGGGGGUAUUGCACCUACCGAAGACUAUCAAACUCCGAAUGCCGUCAUCUUAUACUUGGGAGUCAGACUGUGGGUGAUAAGAUUCAUAGUCGAAAGGGCAACAGCCCAGAUCGUCAGCUAAGGUCCCUAAAUGUAAGUUAAGUGGUAAAGGAUGUGGGAUUGCACAGACAACCAGGAUGUUGGCUUAGAAGCAGCCACUCAUUCAAAGAGUGCGUAAUAGCUCACUGGUCGAGUGAUCCUGCGCCGAAGAUUUCCGGGGCUAAAACUUACUACCGAAGCUACGGCAUCAGUAAUGAUGGGUAGGGGAGCUUCCCAUACGGGUUGAAGCAUGACCGUAAGGACAUGUGGACAGUAUGGGAGUGAGAAUGUUGGCAUGAGUAGCGAGAUGUGGGUGAGAAUCCCACAGGCCGUAAACCCAAGGUUUCCAGGGGAAGGUUCGUCCGCCCUGGGUUAGUCGGGACCUAAGCUGAGGCCGAAAGGCGUAGGUGAUGGACAACAGGUUGAUAUUCCUGUACUACCGAUAACCGUUUGAGAGAAGGGAUGACACAGUAGGAUAAGCUAAGCACACUGUUGGUUAUGUGUGCCCAAGCAUUGAGGCAGUCAAAGUAGGCAAAUCCGCUUUGAUAAUGCUGAGAUGUGAUGGGGAGCGAAAUUUAGUAGCGAAGUAGCUGAUUUCACACUGUCAAGAAAAGUCUCUAUCGAGGUUAAAGGUACCCGUACCGCAAACCGACACAGGUGGCUGAGGAGAGUAUCCUAAGGCCAGCGAGAGAACUGUUGUUAAGGAACUCGGCAAAAUGACCCCGUAACUUAGGGAUAAGGGGUGCCACCAUCAGGUGGCCGCAGAGAAUAGGCCCAAGCGACUGUUUACCAAAAACAUAGGUUUCUGCUAAGUCGCAAGACGAUGUAUAGGAGCUGACGCCUGCCCGGUGCUGGAAGGUUAAGGGGAUCUGUUAGAGCAAUCGAAGCAGUGAACUUAAGCCCCAGUAAACGGCGGCCGUAACUAUAACGGUCCUAAGGUAGCGAAAUUCCUUGUCGGGUAAGUUCCGACCCGCACGAAAGGCGUAACGAUUUGGGCACUGUCUCAACAACAGACUCGGUGAAAUUGUAAUUCCGGUGAAGAUGCCGGAUACCUGCGACAGGACGGAAAGACCCCAUGGAGCUUUACUGUAGCUUGACAUUGGGUCUUGGUACUACAUGUACAGGAUAGGUGGGAGGCUUUGAAACCAGGACGCCAGUUUUGGCGGAGCCAUCCUUGGGAUACCACCCUUGUAGUACUGGGACUCUAACCAUAGGCCAUGAAUCUGGUCUUGGGACACUGUCAGGUGGGCAGUUUGACUGGGGCGGUCGCCUCCCAAAAGGUAACGGAGGCGCUCAAAGGUUCUCUCAGUACGGUCGGAAAUCGUACGUAGAGUGUAAAGGCAAAAGAGAGCUUGAUUGCAAGACAUACAGGUCGAGCAAGGAUGAAAAUCGGACUUAGUGAUCCGGUGGUUCUGCGUGGAAGGGCCAUCGCUCAACGGAUAAAAGCUACCCUGGGGAUAACAGGCUUAUCUCCCCCAAGAGUCCACAUCGACGGGGAGGUUUGGCACCUCGAUGUCGGCUCAUCACAUCCUGGGGCUGUAGUAGGUCCCAAGGGUUGGGCUGUUCGCCCAUUAAAGUGGUACGCGAGCUGGGUUCAGAACGUCGUGAGACAGUUCGGUCCCUAUCCGUCGCAGGCGUAGGAAAUUUGAGAAGACCUGUCCUUAGUACGAGAGGACCGGGAUGGACGUACCUCUGGUGUACCAGUUGUCCUGCCAAGGGCAUGGCUGGGUAGCUAUGUACGGAAUGGAUAAGCGCUGAAAGCAUCUAAGCGCGAAGCCAACUUCAAGAUAAGAUUUCCCACCGCAAGGGUAAGACCCCAGAAAGACUAUCUGGUUGAUAGGUCGAAGGUGUAAGUGCAGCAAUGUAUUUAGCUUAUCGAUACUAAUAGGUCGAGGACUUGACCAA